This 484-nucleotide ribosomal RNA is filed under the name uncultured bacterium. Its description in RNAcentral is "partial 16S ribosomal RNA". It matches the Rfam family "Bacterial small subunit ribosomal RNA", at positions 30 to 507 of the family's 1533-position model. The record is from RNAcentral.
AUUGAACGCUGGCGGCAGGCCUAACACAUGCAAGUCGAGCGGAUGAAGGGAGCUUGCUCCUGGAUUCAGCGGCGGACGGGUGAGUAAUGCCUAGGAAUCUGCCUGGUAGUGGGGGAUAACGUCCGGAAACGGGCGCUAAUACCGCAUACGUCCUGAGGGAGAAAGUGGGGGAUCUUCGGACCUCACGCUAUCAGAUGAGCCUAGGUCGGAUUAGCUAGUUGGUGGGGUAAAGGCCUACCAAGGCGACGAUCCGUAACUGGUCUGAGAGGAUGACCAGUCACACUGGAACUGAGGCACGGUCCAGACUCCUACGGGAGGCAGCAGUGGGGAAUAUUGGACAAUGGGCGAAAGCCUGAUCCAGCCAUGCCGCGUGUGUGAAGAAGGUCUUCGGAUUGUAAAGCACUUUAAGUUGGGAGGAAGGGCAGUAAGUUAAUACCUUGCUGUUUUGACGUUACCAACAGAAUAAGCACCGGCUAACUUCGUG